ACUAAUCGAAAUUAUCAUUUAGCAAUGAUUUUCGAUGUCUAGAUAGAUCGAAUAUUUGUAAGGUAAUACUCAAAAACUUAGAAAUAUGGUUACCUCAUAAUUCAUCCCUUUGAUCUUGAAUGUUCAGGAUGAUCUAGGGCUUAACUAUCAACCCUGGAUUAGUCAUCCACAUUAUAUUUCAAUUAUUUUCAAAUCCUGUGAUCUAUCAUAUAGAUUAUCCCAAUCG
Molecule: long non-coding RNA, 226 nt
Filed under: Elaeis guineensis (African oil palm)
Lineage: Eukaryota; Viridiplantae; Streptophyta; Magnoliopsida; Arecales; Arecaceae
Description: long non-coding RNA (EGUI_LNC055608)
Source: RNAcentral